AAACCAGACUCCUACGGGAGGCAGCAGUGGGGAAUAUUGCACAAUGGGGGGAACCCUGAUGCAGCGACGCCGCGUGGGUGAAGGAGUCUUUCGGUAUGUAAAGCCCUAUCGGCAGGGAAGAAGCAAGACGGUACCUGACUAAGAAGCCCCGGCUAACUACGUGCCAGCAGCCGCGGUAAUACGGAGGGGGCAAGCGUUAUCCGGAUUUACUGGGUGUAAAGGGAGCGUAGACGGAAAGGCAAGUCAGAAGUGAAAGCCCAAGGCGCAACCAUGGGACUGCUUUUGAAACUGUCAAACUAGAGUACGGGAGAGGUAAGAGGAAUUCCUAGUGUAGCGGUGAAAUGCGUAGAUAUUAGGAGGAACACCAGUGGCGAAGGCGGCUUACUGGACUGUAACUGACGUUGAGGCUCGAAAGCGUGGGGAGCAAACAGGAUUAGAUACCCUCGUAAU
Molecule: ribosomal RNA, 450 nt
Filed under: uncultured bacterium
Lineage: Bacteria
Description: bacterial SSU rRNA
Rfam family: Bacterial small subunit ribosomal RNA
Source: RNAcentral